GAUGAACGCUGGCGGCGUGCCUAAUACAUGCAAGUCGAGCGAACAGACGAGGAGCUUGCUCCUCUGACGUUAGCGGCGGACGGGUGAGUAACACGUGGAUAACCUACCUAUAAGACUGGGAUAACUUCGGGAAACCGGAGCUAAUACCGGAUAAUAUAUUGAACCGCAUGGUUCAAUAGUGAAAGACGGUUUUGCUGUCACUUAUAGAUGGAUCCGCGCCGCAUUAGCUAGUUGGUAAGGUAACGGCUUACCAAGGCAACGAUGCGUAGCCGACCUGAGAGGGGGUUCGGCCAACCUGAACCUGGGCCACGGCCCAGCCCCCUAGGGGAGGAAGCAUUAGGGAUCCUUCCGAAAUGGGCGAAAGCCGGACGAAGCAACCCGCGGUGGGUGAUAAAGUCCUUCGGUUCGAAAACCCCUUUUAUAAGGGAAGAACAAAUGUGUAGGUACUAAUGCACGCCUUGACGGUACCUAAUAAGAAGGCCCCGGCUAACUACGU
This 496-nucleotide ribosomal RNA is filed under the name uncultured bacterium. Its description in RNAcentral is "partial 16S ribosomal RNA". It matches the Rfam family "Bacterial small subunit ribosomal RNA", at positions 28 to 506 of the family's 1533-position model. The record is from RNAcentral.